UUAUAUUUUAUAUUGUGCGUUUGUCGUUAAGAGUCUUUUAUUCUGCGGUUUAAUCUAGUGGUUGGACAUUUCUGUCAUAACCGAAUAAUUUGCAGUUAAACGUAACAUUACCUAAACAUUUGUAUGUUUCUCUGCCUCUAUAACAGUUAACUUAAAAUUGCAACGCAACAGUUGGGGAAUGUAGUGAGGGAAGCAAUAUUUUUUGCUUUAACUGAUGUUUUAACCAAUAUUUUAAAGUGCAUCUUGUUUUUAUUUCAAGUUCGCGGUCUGGAUUAAGUCUUUUGGAUCGUCAGAGGUGCGUUUGAUUGUGGCAACUAACAAUUACCUUCACAACGAGGAAAAACCAAGGUCACUGCAACUUCUGCAGAUGUACAGGGAAGCCUCACUGUACCCAGCACCCCAAGGCUGAUUGCAUUUGAAGAUUCUGUUCUCCAUGCCAGAAGAUGGAUGCUUACAAUGGAGGGCAGAGUCAUCAUUGAGUCACAAGACCUAACUGAUUUUCAGUCCGCAUUAGCUGUCUUGUUUGGCUGCUACUACGCUUUCAAUGUUUAGUACCAAGAAGAGGCAGCUGCAACUCUGGAGUUCCUGCAGAGGUUUGUACAUCAUAAAUUUACUUACUCAUUUUACUGACGCUUUUAUCCAAAGCGACUUACAAUUGCAAUUGCUAUAUAUGUCAGAGGUUGCACGCCUCUGGAGCAACUAGGGGUUAAGUGUCUUGCUCAGGGACACAAUGGUGUGUCACAGUGGAUUCGAACCCGUGUCUCUCACACCAGAUGCGUGUGUCUU
Molecule: non-coding RNA, 786 nt
Organism: Misgurnus anguillicaudatus (oriental weatherfish)
Lineage: Eukaryota; Metazoa; Chordata; Actinopteri; Cypriniformes; Cobitidae
Source: RefSeq, a predicted model, not a curated record